This 648-nucleotide ribosomal RNA is filed under the name Triticum aestivum (bread wheat). RNAcentral's name for it is "partial small subunit ribosomal RNA". Lineage: Eukaryota; Viridiplantae; Streptophyta; Magnoliopsida; Poales; Poaceae. The record is from RNAcentral.
AUGUACCUUUCUUUUCUUCACUUGGAUCUUAAGGUUUCUCUCACUAUGGAGAAGCUGUACGGUAGAGAAGAGGUGCAGAGUUCCGAGCGACCAAGAGAGUUUCUUAAUUCUCAGAGAACAACUUCGGCGGGCGCAGCGGUUGCGUGUCUUCUUCAUCUUGUUGAUCCGCCGUUUUGUCGACGUUGUUUCCUUUCCCGCGGCUGCCGCGUGACGCAGUGGCCACGCCAUCGCCUCGCCGUGUGCAUGCAUUGUGUGGCGCCUCCGUGUGGGCCGGGGAACAGCGCCACGGUGGAGGACGCAGCGACGGAUUACGAAUUUGUCAUCAAGCAUCUGGUCAAGAUCCGCACCGUAGGAGUCUCAGAUAGCACCGACUACCCCAAGUUUGAUCUCGUCCUCCUCAGCACGGGCUCCGACGGACAUGUGGACUCAUUGUUCCCUAACCACGAAGCCAUGGAGCUGAAGGACGACUGGAGAAUCACCUUCACCCUCCCUGUAACAAACUCGACAUCAAACAUAGCGAUCCAAGCGACGGGCGUCGGCAAGGCAAACGCCGUGCAUUUGGCCGUGUCUGACAGCAGCGACGGUCCAGACGCCCCCGUGCCCCUGCCUGCCAGGACGGUCCAGCCAACGCACGAGAAGCCGGUGUGA